This 446-nucleotide ribosomal RNA is filed under the name uncultured bacterium. RNAcentral's name for it is "partial 16S ribosomal RNA". It matches the Rfam family "Bacterial small subunit ribosomal RNA", at positions 338 to 795 of the family's 1533-position model. The record is from RNAcentral.
CCUACGGGAGGCAGCAGUCGAGAAUCAUUCACAAUGGGGGAAACCCUGAUGGGGCGACGCCGCGUGGGGGAAUGAAGGUCUGCGGAUUGUAAACCCCUGUCAUGUGGGAGCAAAUUAAAAAGAUAGUACCACAAGAGGAAGAGACGGCUAACUCUGUGCCAGCAGCCGCGGUAAUACAGAGGUCUCAAGCGUUGUUCGGAAUCACUGGGCGUAACGCGUGCGUAGGCUGUGUCGUAAGUCGUGUGUGAAAGGCGCGGGCUCAACCCGCGGACGGCACAUGAUACUGCGAGACUAGAGUAAUGGAGGGGGAACCGGAAUGCUCGGUGUAGCAGUGAAAUGCGUAGAUAUCGAGAGGAACACUCGUGGCGAAGGCGGGUUCCUGGACAUUAACUGACGCUGAGGCACGAAGGCCAGGGGAGCGAAAGGGAUUAGAUACCCGGGUAGUC